UACAGAGGUCUCAAGCGUUGUUCGGAUUCAUUGGGCGUAAAGGGUGCGUAGGCGGCGCGGUAAGUCGGGUGUGAAAUCUCGGAGCUUAACUCCGAAACUGCAUUCGAUACUGCCGUGCUUGAGGACUGGAGAGGAGACUGGAAUUUACGGUGUAGCGGUGAAAUGCGUAGAUAUCGGGAGGAACACCUAUGGCGAAGGCAGCUCGCUGGGACGGUACUGACGCUGAGACGCGAAAGCGUGGGGAGCAAACAGG
RNAcentral lists this ribosomal RNA (253 nucleotides) under uncultured bacterium. RNAcentral's name for it is "partial 16S ribosomal RNA". It matches the Rfam family "Bacterial small subunit ribosomal RNA", at positions 524 to 776 of the family's 1533-position model. The record is from RNAcentral.